RNAcentral lists this ribosomal RNA (775 nucleotides) under uncultured Neocallimastigales. RNAcentral describes it as "partial large subunit ribosomal RNA". It matches the Rfam family "Eukaryotic large subunit ribosomal RNA", at positions 23 to 634 of the family's 3401-position model. Lineage: Eukaryota; Fungi; Neocallimastigomycota; Neocallimastigomycetes; Neocallimastigales. The record is from RNAcentral.
AGAGAGAGACAUGCGCGCAUAUCAAUAAGCGGAGGAAAAGAAACUAACAAGGAUUCCCUUAGUAACGGCGAGUGAAGCGGGAAGAGCUCAAAUUUGAAAUCUUCAAGGUUUUACCUUGACGAAUUGUAGUUUAAAGAAGUGUUUUCUGCUGAAGUUUUGGUAAAAGUUCUUUGGAAUAGGACAUCAUAGAGGGUGAGAAUCCCGUAUUUGACCAUUAUUUUCAGCUUUGUGAUACACUUUCAAAGAGUCGGAUUGUUUGGGAAUGCAGUCCAAAAUGGGUGGUAAAUUUCAUCUAAAGCUAAAUAUUGGCGAGAGACCGAUAGCGAACAAGUACCGUGAGGGAAAGAUGAAAAGAACUUUGAAAAGAGAGUUAAACAGUACGUGAAAUUGUCAAAAGGGAAGCGUUUGACACCAGUGUUGUUUUCUCGAAAAUCAAUUAAAAAUGGCUCGAUUUUGUAUUGCUGAGACCUUAAAAGCUCACUGUACAUUUUUCGUGUCUUUUUUAAUGCACUUUUCGUUUAACAAGUCAACAUCCAGUUUCUUUUGUUGUAAAAGGGUCAUUGGAAGGUGGCUUUCUUUUCGGAGAAAGUGUUUAUAGCCUUUGGCCUCUGCAAUCGAAGAGACUGAGGUCUGCAGCGUAGACUCUUCGGGGUUAGAUACAUUUGUGCUAAGUUAUAGCUUUUUAUAGACAACUUGUUGACUAUAAUUAGUCUUGUAGCUUACUCGCUUAUGCUAUUUUACCUACGCUUAGGAUGUUGAAGAUGUAGCACAUCAU